The sequence is a ribosomal RNA, 652 nucleotides long. The stretch from base 243 to 396 matches the Rfam family "5.8S ribosomal RNA".
GUAGGUGAACCUGCGGAAGGAUCAUUAUUGAAUAAAUGUAGAGUUGGUUGUAGCUGGCCCUUUUUUUGGGGGGGCAUGUGCACACCUCCUCUUUCAUCCACAUACCCCUGUGCACUUGUGAGACAGAAGAAGAAUCUCUCCGCCAUUGUUUUUUGGUGGUUUGACUUAUUCUUCUGUCUACUCAACUACAUAAACUCAUUUAUUUUAAAACUGAAUGUAAUUGAUGUAACACAUCUAAUACUAAGUUUCAACAACGGAUCUCUUGGCUCUCGCAUCGAUGAAGAACGCAGCGAAAUGCGAUAAGUAAUGUGAAUUGCAGAAUUCAGUGAAUCAUCGAAUCUUUGAACGCACCUUGCGCUCCUUGGUAUUCCUUGGAGCAUGCCUGUUUGAGUAUCAUGAAAUUCUCAAAGUAAAUCUUUUGUUAAUUCAAUCGGCUUGCUUUGGUCUUGGAGGUUUUAUUGCAGGGGGGGUUUCACUCCUUGCUCCUCUUUGUAUAUUAGCUGGAUCUCAGUGUUAUGCUUGGUUUCACUCGGCGUGAUAAGUUAUCACUCGCUGAGUACACUGUAACAGGUGGCCAAGGUAAACAUAGAUGAGCCGCUUCUUAAUGGUCCAUUGACUUGGACGAUUAUUUUUAUGAUCUGAUCUCAAAUCA